UGGGGAAUAUUUCACAAUGGGCGCAAGCCUGAUGCAGCCAUGCCGCGUGUAUGAAGAAGGCCUUCGGGUUGUAAAGUACUUUCAGCGGGGAGGAAGGGAGUAAAGUUAAUACCUUUGCUCAUUGACGUUACCCGCAGAAGAAGCACCGGCUAACUCCGUGCCAGCAGCCGCGGUAAUACGGAGGGUGCAAGCGUUAAUCGGAAUUACUGGGCGUAAAGCGCACGCAGGCGGUUUGUUAAGUCAGAUGUGAAAUCCCCGGGCUCAACCUGGGAACGGCAUCUGAUACUGGCAAGCUUGAGUCUCGUAGAGGGGGGUAGAAUUCCAGGUGUAGCGGUGAAAUGCGUAGAGAUCUGGAGGAAUACCGGUGGCGAAGGCGGCCCCCUGGACGAAGACUGACGCUCAGGUGCGAAAGCGUGGGGAGCAAACAGG
Molecule: ribosomal RNA, 429 nt
Filed under: Chloroflexota bacterium
Lineage: Bacteria; Bacillati; Chloroflexota
Description: Chloroflexi bacterium partial 16S ribosomal RNA
Rfam family: Bacterial small subunit ribosomal RNA
Source: RNAcentral